UACGUAGGGGGCAAGCGUUGUCCGGAAUCAUUGGGCGUAAAGGGUGCGUAGGCGGGUUUUUAAGUCAGAGGUGAAAUCCUGGAGCUCAACUCCAGAACUGCCUUUGAUACUGAGAAUCUUGAGUAUGGGAGAGGUGAGUGGAACUGCGAGUGUAGAGGUGAAAUUCGUAGAUAUUCGCAAGAACACCAGUGGCGAAGGCGGCUCACUGGCCCAUAACUGACGCUGAGGCACGAAAGCGUGGGGAGCAAACAGG
RNAcentral lists this ribosomal RNA (253 nucleotides) under uncultured bacterium. Its description in RNAcentral is "partial 16S ribosomal RNA". It matches the Rfam family "Bacterial small subunit ribosomal RNA", at positions 524 to 776 of the family's 1533-position model. The record is from RNAcentral.